RNAcentral lists this ribosomal RNA (251 nucleotides) under uncultured bacterium. RNAcentral describes it as "partial 16S ribosomal RNA". It matches the Rfam family "Bacterial small subunit ribosomal RNA", at positions 526 to 776 of the family's 1533-position model. The record is from RNAcentral.
CGAAGGGAGGCUAGCGUUGUUCGGAAUUACUGGGCGUAAAGGGCGCGUAGGCGGCCAUUCAAGUUAGGUGUGAAAGCCCUGGGCUCAACCUAGGAAUUGCACUUGAUACUGUUUGGCUUGAGUUCGGGAGAGGUGAGUGGAAUUCCCAGUGUAGAGGUGAAAUUCGUAGAUAUUGGAAGAACACCAGUGGCGAAGGCGGCUCACUGGACCGACACUGACGCUGAGGCGCGAAAGCGAUGGGAGCAACAGGG